This 408-nucleotide ribosomal RNA is filed under the name uncultured bacterium. RNAcentral describes it as "partial 16S ribosomal RNA". It matches the Rfam family "Bacterial small subunit ribosomal RNA", at positions 28 to 526 of the family's 1533-position model. The record is from RNAcentral.
GACGAACGCUGGCGGCGUGCUUAACACAUGCAAGUCGAACGAAGUGGCGAACGGGUGAGUAACGCGUAAUCAACCUGCCCUUCAGAGGGGGACAACAGUUGGAAACGACUGAUAAUACCGCAUACUGAAGGAGGGGAUUGCGUCUGAUUAGCUAGUUGGAGGGGGAACGGCCCACCAUGGCGAUGAUCAGGAGCCGGGCUGGGGGGAGUAACGGCCACAAUGGGACUGAGACACGGCCCAGAAUCCUACGGGAGGCAGCAGGGGGGAAUCUUCGGAAAUGGACGAAAGUCUGACGGAGCAACGCCGCGUGAGUGAUGACGGCCUUCGGGGUUUAAAGCUAUGUUAAUCGGGACGCGGUACCGGAAGAGAAAGCCACGGCUAACUACGUGCCAGCAGCCGCGGUAAUAC